This 69-nucleotide transfer RNA is filed under the name Rattus norvegicus (Norway rat). It matches the Rfam family "tRNA". From Rfam's summary of the family: Transfer RNA (tRNA) molecules are approximately 80 nucleotides in length. The record is from Rfam by way of RNAcentral. Lineage: Eukaryota; Metazoa; Chordata; Mammalia; Rodentia; Muridae.
GGGGAUUUAGCUCAGUGGUAGAGCGCUUGCCUAGCAAGCGCAAGGCCCUGGGUUCGAUGCCCAGCUCCG